AGCUCAUCCUCCGCGACUUGCAGAUCAAAGUGGUUCCCCUUGAGGGUCUUCACGGAGAUCUUCAUCGUGCACCGAUCCAAGAGCUCCGAAGCUCAAACGUCCACGCACCCCACAACCGGCGAACGCUGCUAAAGAACUUCUAGCUGCUGCUGCUCCUCGUCGUCCUCCUCCUCUUCCUUUGACACCACCACCACCAACGACAACAACAAGAACAGCACGACGUGCAAUUCCCAGCGACGGUGUUGAUCCUGCCCUCUUCCUCCAAGCCCUAGCUCUGUCUCUCUC
This 285-nucleotide long non-coding RNA is filed under the name Physcomitrium patens. RNAcentral's name for it is "long non-coding RNA (PPAT_LNC010873)". Lineage: Eukaryota; Viridiplantae; Streptophyta; Bryopsida; Funariales; Funariaceae. The record is from RNAcentral.